GACGAACGCUGGCGGCGUGCUUAACACAUGCAAGUCGAACGGAAAGGCCCUGCUUUUGCGGGGUGCUCGAGUGGCGAACGGGUGAGUAACACGUGAGUAACCUGCCCUUGACUUUGGGAUAACUUCAGGAAACUGGGGCUAAUACCGGAUAGGAGCUCCUGCUGCAUGGUGGGGGUUGGAAAGUUUCGGCGGUUGGGGAUGGACUCGCGGCUUAUCAGCUUGUUGGUGGGGUAGUGGCUUACCAAGGCUUUGACGGGUAGCCGGCCUGAGAGGGUGACCGGCCACAUUGGGACUGAGAUACGGCCCAGACUCCUACGGGAGGCAGCAGUGGGGAAUAUUGCACAAUGGGCGGAAGCCUGAUGCAGCAACGCCGCGUGCGGGAUGACGGCCUUCGGGUUGUAAACCGCUUUCGCCUGUGACGAAGCGUGAGUGACGGUAAUGGGUAAAGAAGCACCGGCUAACUACGUGCCAGCAGCCGCGGUGAUACGUAGGGUGCGAGCGUUGUCCGGAUUUAUUGGGCGUAAAGGGCUCAUAGGUGGUUGAUCGCGUCGGAAGUGUAAUCUUGGGGCUUAACCCUGAGCGUGCUUUCGAUACGGGUUGACUUGAGGAAGGUAGGGGAGAAUGGAAUUCCUGGUGGAGCGGUGGAAUGCGCAGAUAUCAGGAGGAACACCAGUGGCGAAGGCGGUUCUCUGGGCCUUUCCUGACGCUGAGGAGCGAAAGCGUGGGGAGCGAACAGGCUUAGAUACCCUGGUAGUCCACGCUGUAAACGGUGGGUACUAGGUGUGGGGUCCAUUCCACGGGUUCCGUGCCGUAGCUAACGCUUUAAGUACCCCGCCUGGGGAGUACGGCCGCAAGGCUAAAACUCAAAGGAAUUGACGGGGCCCCGCACAAGCGGCGGAGCAUGCGGAUUAAUUCGAUGCAACGCGUAGAACCUUACCUGGGUUUGACAUGGAUCGGGAGUGCUCAGAGAUGGGUGUGCCUCUUUUGGGGUCGGUUCACAGGUGGUGCAUGGCUGUCGUCAGCUCGUGUCGUGAGAUGUUGGGUUAAGUCCCGCAACGAGCGCAACCCUUGUUCACUGUUGCCAGCACGUUAUGGUGGGGACUCAGUGGAGACCGCCGGGGUCAACUCGGAGGAAGGUGGGGAUGACGUCAAGUCAUCAUGCCCCUUAUGUCCAGGGCUUCACGCAUGCUACAAUGGCUGGUACAGAGAGUGGCGAGCCUGUGAGGGUGAGCGAAUCUCGGAAAGCCGGUCCCAGUUCGGAUUGGGGUCUGCAACUCGACCUCAUGAAGUCGGAGUCGCUAGUAAUCGCAGAUCAGCAACGCUGCGGUGAAUACGUUCCCGGG
This 1343-nucleotide ribosomal RNA is filed under the name uncultured bacterium. Its description in RNAcentral is "16S ribosomal RNA". It matches the Rfam family "Bacterial small subunit ribosomal RNA", at positions 28 to 1378 of the family's 1533-position model. The record is from RNAcentral.